RNAcentral lists this ribosomal RNA (451 nucleotides) under Escherichia coli. RNAcentral's name for it is "bacterial SSU rRNA". It matches the Rfam family "Bacterial small subunit ribosomal RNA", at positions 30 to 475 of the family's 1533-position model. Lineage: Bacteria; Pseudomonadati; Pseudomonadota; Gammaproteobacteria; Enterobacterales; Enterobacteriaceae. The record is from RNAcentral.
AUUGAACGCUGGCGGCAGGCCUAACACAUGCAAGUCGAACGGUAACAGGAAGCAGCUUGCUGCUUUGCUGACGAGUGGCGGACGGGUGAGUAAUGUCUGGGAAACUGCCUGAUGGAGGGGGAUAACUACUGGAAACGGUAGCUAAUACCGCAUAACGUCGCAAGACCAAAGAGGGGGACCUUCGGGCCUCUUGCCAUCGGAUGUGCCCAGAUGGGAUUAGCUAGUAGGUGGGGUAACGGCUCACCUAGGCGACGAUCCCUAGCUGGUCUGAGAGGAUGACCAGCCACACUGGAACUGAGACACGGUCCAGACUCCUACGGGAGGCAGCAGUGGGGAAUAUUGCACAAUGGGCGCAAGUCUGAUGCAGCCAUGCCGCGUGUAUGAAGAAGGCCUUCGGGUUGUAAAGUACUUUCAGCGGGGAGGAAGGGAGUAAAGUUAAUACCUUUGCUCA